GACGAACGCUGGCGGCGUGCCUAAUACAUGCAAGUCGAGCGAGCGGAACCAACAGAUUUACUUCGGUAAUGACGUUGGGAAAGCGAGCGGCGGAUGGGUGAGUAACACGUGGGGAACCUGCCCCUAAGUCUGGGAUACCAUUUGGAAACAGGUGCUAAUACCGGAUAAUAAAGCAGAUCGCAUGAUCAGCUUUUGAAAGGCGGCGUAAGCUGUCGCUAAGGGAUGGCCCCGCGGUGCAUUAGCUAGUUGGUAAGGUAACGGCUUACCAAGGCGACGAUGCAUAGCCGAGUUGAGAGACUGAUCGGCCACAUUGGGACUGAGACACGGCCCAAACUCCUACGGGAGGCAGCAGUAGGGAAUCUUCCACAAUGGACGCAAGUCUGAUGGAGCAACGCCGCGUGAGUGAAGAAGGUUUUCGGAUCGUAAAGCUCUGUUGUUGGUGAAGAAGGAUAGAGGUAGUAACUGGCCUUUAUUUGACGGUAAUCAACCAGAAAGUCACGGCUAACUAC
RNAcentral lists this ribosomal RNA (509 nucleotides) under uncultured bacterium. Its description in RNAcentral is "bacterial SSU rRNA". It matches the Rfam family "Bacterial small subunit ribosomal RNA", at positions 28 to 504 of the family's 1533-position model. The record is from RNAcentral.